This 1886-nucleotide ribosomal RNA is filed under the name Campylobacter jejuni. RNAcentral's name for it is "partial 23S ribosomal RNA". It matches the Rfam family "Bacterial large subunit ribosomal RNA", at positions 1 to 1891 of the family's 2925-position model. The record is from RNAcentral. Lineage: Bacteria; Pseudomonadati; Campylobacterota; Epsilonproteobacteria; Campylobacterales; Campylobacteraceae.
AGGUAAGCUACUAAGAGCGAAUGGUGGAUGCCUUGACUGGUAAAGGCGAUGAAGGACGUACUAGACUGCGAUAAGCUACGGGGAGCUGUCAAGAAGCUUUGAUCCGUAGAUUUCCGAAUGGGGCAACCCAAUGUAUAGAGAUAUACAUUACCUAUAUAGGAGCGAACGAGGGGAAUUGAAACAUCUUAGUACCCUCAGGAAAAGAAAUCAAUAGAGAUUGCGUCAGUAGCGGCGAGCGAAAGCGCAAGAGGGCAAACCCAGUGCUUGCACUGGGGGUUGUAGGACUGCAAUGUGCAAGAGGUAAGUUUAGCAGAACAUUCUGGAAAGUAUAACCAUAGAGGGUGAUAGUCCCGUAUGCGAAAAACAAACCUUAGCUAGCAGUAUCCUGAGUAGGGCGGGACACGAGGAAUCCUGUCUGAAUCCGGGUCGACCACGAUCCAACCCUAAAUACUAAUACCAGAUCGAUAGUGCACAAGUACCGUGAGGGAAAGGUGAAAAGAACUGAGGUGAUCAGAGUGAAAUAGAACCUGAAACCAUUUGCUUACAAUCAUUCAGAGCCCUAUGUAGCAAUACAGGGUGAUGGACUGCCUUUUGCAUAAUGAGCCUGCGAGUUGUGGUGUCUGGCAAGGUUAAGCAAACGCGAAGCCGUAGCGAAAGCGAGUCUGAAUAGGGCGCUUAGUCAGAUGCUGCAGACCCGAAACGAAGUGAUCUAUCCAUGAGCAAGUUGAAGCUAGUGUAAGAACUAGUGGAGGACUGAACCCAUAGGCGUUGAAAAGCCCCGGGAUGACUUGUGGAUAGGGGUGAAAGGCCAAUCAAACUUCGUGAUAGCUGGUUCUCUCCGAAAUAUAUUUAGGUAUAGCGUUGUGUCGUAAUAUAAGGGGGUAGAGCACUGAAUGGGCUAGGGCAUACACCAAUGUACCAAACCCUAUCAAACUCCGAAUACCUUAUAUGUAAUCACAGCAGUCAGGCGGCGAGUGAUAAAAUCCGUCGUCAAGAGGGAAACAACCCAGACUACCAGCUAAGGUCCCUAAAUCUUACUUAAGUGGAAAACGAUGUGAAGUUACUUAAACAACCAGGAGGUUGGCUUAGAAGCAGCCAUCCUUUAAAGAAAGCGUAAUAGCUCACUGGUCUAGUGAUUUUGCGCGGAAAAUAUAACGGGGCUAAAGUAAGUACCGAAGCUGUAGACUUAGUUUACUAAGUGGUAGGAGAGCGUUCUAUUUGCGUCGAAGGUAUACCGGUAAGGAGUGCUGGAGCGAAUAGAAGUGAGCAUGCAGGCAUGAGUAGCGAUAAUUAAUGUGAGAAUCAUUAACGCCGUAAACCCAAGGUUUCCUACGCGAUGCUCGUCAUCGUAGGGUUAGUCGGGUCCUAAGUCGAGUCCGAAAGGGGUAGACGAUGGCAAAUUGGUUAAUAUUCCAAUACCAACAUUAGUGUGCGAUGGAAGGACGCUUAGGGCUAAGGGGGCUAGCGGAUGGAAGUGCUAGUCUAAGGUCGUAGGAGGUUAUACAGGCAAAUCCGUAUAACAAUACUCCGAGAACUGAAAGGCUUUUUGAAGUCUUCGGAUGGAUAGAAGAACCCCUGAUGCCGUCGAGCCAAGAAAAGUUUCUAAGUUUAGCUAAUGUUGCCCGUACCGUAAACCGACACAGGUGGGUGGGAUGAGUAUUCUAAGGCGCGUGGAAGAACUCUCUUUAAGGAACUCUGCAAAAUAGCACCGUAUCUUCGGUAUAAGGUGUGGUUAGCUUUGUAUUAGGAUUUACUCCGAAAGCAAGGAAACUUACAACAAAGAGUCCCUCCCGACUGUUUACCAAAAACACAGCACUCUGCUAACUCGUAAGAGGAUGUAUAGGGUGUGACGCCUGCCCGGUGCUCGAAGGUUAAUUGAUGGGGUU